GGGCCCGCACAAGCGGUGGAGUAUGUGGUUUAAUUCGAUGCAACGCGAAGAACCUUACCAGGGUUUGACAUCCUGCGAAUCUCUUGGAAACAGGAGAGUGCCUUCGGGAACGCAGUGACAGGUGGUGCAUGGCUGUCGUCAGCUCGUGUCGUGAGAUGUUGGGUUAAGUCCCGCAACGAGCGCAACCCACGUCUUUAGUUGCCAGCAUUUAGUUGGGCACUCUAGAGAGACUGCCGGUGAUAAACCGGAGAAGGUGUGGAUGACGUCAAGUCAUCAUGCCCCUUACAUCUGGGCUACACACGUGCUACAUGGCGUAUACAAAGGGUAGCGAACCAGUGAUGGUAAGCCAAUCUCUAAAGUACGUCUC
RNAcentral lists this ribosomal RNA (367 nucleotides) under uncultured bacterium. RNAcentral describes it as "bacterial SSU rRNA". It matches the Rfam family "Bacterial small subunit ribosomal RNA", at positions 917 to 1289 of the family's 1533-position model. The record is from RNAcentral.